This 303-nucleotide ribosomal RNA is filed under the name uncultured bacterium. Its description in RNAcentral is "bacterial SSU rRNA". It matches the Rfam family "Bacterial small subunit ribosomal RNA", at positions 614 to 916 of the family's 1533-position model. The record is from RNAcentral.
CUAGGAAUGGCUUUUGAUACUGGUAGACUUGAGUCUUGUAGAGGGGAGUGGAAUUUCUGGUGUAGCGGUGAAAUGCGUAGAUAUCAGGAGGAACACCAAUUGCGAAGGCAACUUACUGGAACAUAACUGACGCUCAUGUGCGAAAGCGUGGGGAGCAAACAGGAUUAGAUACCCUGGUAGUCCACGCCCUAAACGAUGUCCACUAGCUGUUGGUGCCUUCGACGCAGGCGUAAUGCAGCUAACGCAUUAAGUCCACCGGCUGGGGAGUACGGCCGCAAGGUUAAAACUCAAAUGAAUUGACGG